RNAcentral lists this ribosomal RNA (405 nucleotides) under uncultured soil bacterium. RNAcentral's name for it is "bacterial SSU rRNA". It matches the Rfam family "Bacterial small subunit ribosomal RNA", at positions 26 to 432 of the family's 1533-position model. The record is from RNAcentral.
AGAUUGAACGCUGGCGGCAUGCCUAACACAUGCAAGUCGAACGGGAGUAGCAAUACUCUAGUGGCGGACGGGUGAGGAAUACGUAGGAAUUUGCCCUUAAGUGGGGGAUAACCCGGGGAAACCCGGAUUAAUACCGCAUGACCUCGAAAGAGCAAAGUGGGGGAUCGCAAGACCUCACGCUUUUGGAGAAGCCUACGUCGGAUUAGCUAGUUGGUGAGGUAAUGGCUCACCAAGGCGACGAUCCGUAACUGGUCUGAGAGGAUGAUCAGUCACACCGGAGCUGAGACACGGUCCGGACUCCGUACGGGAGGCAGCGAGUGGGGAAUAGUUGGACAAGUGGGCGCAAGCCGUGAUCCAGCAAUGCCGCGUGUGGUAGAAGUAAGGCCGUUACGGGUUAGUAAACGG